This 935-nucleotide non-coding RNA is filed under the name Cryptobatrachus remotus. Its description in RNAcentral is "partial 12S ribosomal RNA". It matches the Rfam family "Bacterial small subunit ribosomal RNA". Lineage: Eukaryota; Metazoa; Chordata; Amphibia; Anura; Hemiphractidae. The record is from RNAcentral.
CAAAGGUUUGGUCCUGACCUUGAGAUCAAUUUUUACUUAACUUACACAUGCAAGUCUCAGCGCACCAGUGAAGACGCCCUAAAAUCCCAUUCAUAGGGAUAAGGAGCCGGCAUCAGGCACAAUAAUUUGCCCAUGACGCCUAGCCACGCCACACCCACAAGGGUAUACAGCAGUGAUUAACCUUGAGUAUAAGCGAAAGCUUGACUCAGUUAGAGUAAAUAGAGCCGGCAAAUCUAGUGCCAGCCGCCGCGGUUACACCAGAGGCUCAAAUUGAAACCCAUCGGCGUAAAGCGUGAUUAAAAUUAUAUCUGAUUUAGAGUUAAACCUAAACUAAGCUGUAAUACGCUUGUUGAAGGGAAAGCCAAAACAAAAGUUACUCUAACUAAACCAAUUUGAACUCACGACAGUCGAGACACAAACUGGGAUUAGAUACCCCACUAUGCUCGAUCGUAAACCUUAACUUACAACCAAAUCGCCAGGGAACUACAAGCAAAGCUUAAAACCCAAAGGACUUGACGGUACCCCAUAUCCCCCUAGAGGAGCCUGUCCUAUAAUCGAUGAUCCCCGUUUAACCUCACCAUUUUUAGCCUUUCAGCCUGUAUACCUCCGUCGCCAGCUCACCACGUGAGCGAAAUCCAGUGAGCUCAAUGAAUUUAUCCUUCAACACGUCAGGUCAAGGUGCAGCAAAUAUAAUGGGAAGAGAUGGGCUACACUUUCUAGCUUAGAAAACACGGAAGACUACCAAUGAAAUCUAGUCCAAAGGCGGAUUUAGCAGUAAGAAGAGAUUAGUUAGCUCUUCUAAAUUUGGCACUGGGGUGUGUACACACCGCCCGUCACCCUCUUCAAAAAACAUAAAAUAGUAUUUAACUCGCUUUCCCAAAAUUAGAAGAGGUAAGUCGUAACAUGGUAAGCGUACCGGAAGGUGUGCUUGGAAA